Molecule: transfer RNA, 75 nt
Filed under: Albula goreensis
Lineage: Eukaryota; Metazoa; Chordata; Actinopteri; Albuliformes; Albulidae
Description: tRNA-OTHER
Source: RNAcentral
CAGCCUGUAGCCUAGUGGCUAAGGUACAUGACUGGGACCCCUGAGGUUGGUGGUUCAAGUCCCAGUCCAGCCCCA